Molecule: long non-coding RNA, 596 nt
Organism: Gossypium arboreum
Lineage: Eukaryota; Viridiplantae; Streptophyta; Magnoliopsida; Malvales; Malvaceae
Exons: 2
Source: RefSeq, a predicted model, not a curated record
UCAUCUUUUUUAUAGACACCAAUUCUUUUCACAUAUUCUUAAGUGUUCUUGUGCUAUUCAAGGCUUGUUAAACACUUUGAAUUCACAAGAUAAGGCAAUCACUUGCCAAAAUGAAAGCAGCUAAGAGAUUGACCUGAGACGUUUAGGUGAUUUUAACUUAAAGAUGGGGAAGAAAGCCAACAUGGGAAGCCAAAAUGAGCAACCAUUGAUAGCCCCUACAUUCAAUUGUUUAGUCUUUGCAUUGUGAAAUGGCAAAGAAGAAGGGAACAUUCAACCCAAAGACAAGUCGAAGAGAUGAAUCAAAAUCCAAGAGAAUACGCAGCUUGUAAUAAUCGAAAUCCGGUCUUUGUUGCUAAAGACAGACAUCGAGUGAUUAGGCAGUAUGUUGUGCCUUUGUUUAGUGAACUCAAUCCUGGAACUGUAAGACCCGAGAUUGAGGAUCCUCAGUUCGAGUUAAAACUGGUGAUGUUCUAGAUGUUGCAAACAAUGGGUCAUUUUAGUGGAAUGCUUAUUGAAGAUCUACAUUUGCACCUCCGCUUAUUUUGGUUGAAUUCCUUACCUCCCCAUUCUGUUUCCAAAUGACAAGAAUUGCAGAA